Molecule: long non-coding RNA, 726 nt
Filed under: Homo sapiens (human)
Lineage: Eukaryota; Metazoa; Chordata; Mammalia; Primates; Hominidae
Description: non-protein coding lnc-SLC45A4-3:3
Source: RNAcentral
GGCCGCAGCCUCGCAGCGCUCUCUCCGCGCCCGCGUCGCUGACUGACCGCCCGGCCGGCCGGCCGAGGGAGCAGCCCCCGCCCGGACCCGCAGCCGCCUCCCGACCCCGGUGCGCCCGGGGCUCCGCGCCCCCGUAGCCCCUGCCCGGCCCGGCCCGGCCGCCCCGCCGCCCCCGCGGCCCCGGCCGGAGGAGACAGAUCAUCCAGUCACUCGAUGGGGAUUACCAGCGGACCACCUGUUUGUAUCACCUUCCCACCUCUCUGUAGCAAGAAAAAUCACUUCAGCACCUCUUCAGUAAUAAUGAUGAAACUGGUAUUAACUGAAUGGCAAUUAUGGAUUUUUAACUCUAAUUCACAGUAAACCAGCAAGCCAUAUGUUUAAAAUCCAACCAAAAAUCGUUCUGUGUUGCUGCAUGUCUCAUACCGUUGUGAGAAGUUGUGAGAUAGCCACUUGUGCAAAGAGGAAUGUAAGUGUUACCUGCCCGAGGAACACAGCAGAAGCAGAAAGAGAAGACGUCUUAAUUUAUCAUUACAGAUAUAUGAAAGCAUUAUUUAUAUAGAUAGAAUAUAUAGAUAAAUACAUAUAUUUUUGGUGGUAAUGAAAAUGGCUCCGCAGAAUGCCGACCCGGAAUCUAUGCAAGUUCAAGAGUUAUCCGUGCCCCUGCCGGACCCGCAGAAAGCCGGAGGCGCAGAGGCCGAGAACUGCGAGACCAUCAGCGAGGGGUCC